This 179-nucleotide non-coding RNA is filed under the name Symbiodinium sp. clade D. The record is from RNAcentral. Lineage: Eukaryota; Dinophyceae; Suessiales; Symbiodiniaceae.
AACACAACAGCAACAAAGAGGGAAAAGAGGUGAAAAAGAACAAAGCACAAACGACAAAGAAGCGUGCGUUACUUAAUUUCACUUACCUUCUUUGUCUUUGUUCUUUGUGUUCUUCUCUUUCAAUUUUACACAAAGCGUGCGGUCUUUUCCUUCCCUUACCUUUGUUAAAAUUGAAAGGG